RNAcentral lists this ribosomal RNA (664 nucleotides) under uncultured bacterium. RNAcentral's name for it is "bacterial SSU rRNA". It matches the Rfam family "Bacterial small subunit ribosomal RNA", at positions 140 to 805 of the family's 1533-position model. The record is from RNAcentral.
GGGAUAACCGGGAGAAAUUCCGACUAAUACCGCAUACGUCCUCCGGGGGCAUCCCUGGGGGAUGAAAGAGUUAUCGGUGAAGGAUGGGCAUGCGUGAUAUUAGGUAGUUGGCGGGGCAACGGCCCACCAAGCCCACGAUAUCUAGGGGUUCUGAGAGGAAGGUCCCCCACAUUGGUACUGAGACACGGACCAAACUCCUACGGGAGGCAGCAGUGAGGAAUAUUGGUCAAUGGACGAGAGUCUGAACCAGCCAAGUCGCGUGAAGGAAGACGGAUCUAUGGUUUGUAAACUUCUUUAGUGCGGGAACAAAGCGGCGUCGAGACGCCUGAUGAGUGUACCGCAAGAAUAAGCAUCGGCUAACUCCGUGCCAGCAGCCGCGGUAAUACGGAGGAUGCGAGCGUUAUCCGGAUUUAUUGGGUUUAAAGGGAGCGCAGGCUGCGAGGCAAGUCAGCGGUCAAAUGUCGGGGCUCAACCCCGGCCUGCCGUUGAAACUGUCCUGCUAGAGUUCGAGUGAGGUAUGCGGAAUGCGUUGUGUAGCGGUGAAAUGCAUAGAUAUGACGCAGAACUCCGAUUGCGAAGGCAGCAUACCAACUCGCGACUGACGCUGAGGCUCGAAAGCGUGGGUAUCGAACAGGAUUAGAUACCCUGGUAGUCCACGCAGUAA